This 846-nucleotide ribosomal RNA is filed under the name Bacillus subtilis subsp. subtilis. RNAcentral describes it as "bacterial SSU rRNA". It matches the Rfam family "Bacterial small subunit ribosomal RNA", at positions 49 to 875 of the family's 1533-position model. Lineage: Bacteria; Bacillati; Bacillota; Bacilli; Caryophanales; Bacillaceae. The record is from RNAcentral.
CUAUACAUGCAGUCGAGCGGACAGAUGGGAGCUUGCUCCCUGAUGUUAGCGGCGGACGGGUGAGUAACACGUGGGUAACCUGCCUGUAAGACUGGGAUAACUCCGGGAAACCGGGGCUAAUACCGGAUGGUUGUUUGAACCGCAUGGUUCAAACAUAAAAGGUGGCUUCGGCUACCACUUACAGAUGGACCCGCGGCGCAUUAGCUAGUUGGUGAGGUAACGGCUCACCAAGGCGACGAUGCGUAGCCGACCUGAGAGGGUGAUCGGCCACACUGGGACUGAGACACGGCCCAGACUCCUACGGGAGGCAGCAGUAGGGAAUCUUCCGCAAUGGACGAAAGUCUGACGGAGCAACGCCGCGUGAGUGAUGAAGGUUUUCGGAUCGUAAAGCUCUGUUGUUAGGGAAGAACAAGUACCGUUCGAAUAGGGCGGUACCUUGACGGUACCUAACCAGAAAGCCACGGCUAACUACGUGCCAGCAGCCGCGGUAAUACGUAGGUGGCAAGCGUUGUCCGGAAUUAUUGGGCGUAAAGGGCUCGCAGGCGGUUUCUUAAGUCUGAUGUGAAAGCCCCCGGCUCAACCGGGGAGGGUCAUUGGAAACUGGGGAACUUGAGUGCAGAAGAGGAGAGUGGAAUUCCACGUGUAGCGGUGAAAUGCGUAGAGAUGUGGAGGAACACCAGUGGCGAAGGCGACUCUCUGGUCUGUAACUGACGCUGAGGAGCGAAAGCGUGGGGAGCGAACAGGAUUAGAUACCCUGGUAGUCCACGCCGUAAACGAUGAGUGCUAAGUGUUUAGGGGGGUUUCCGCCCCUUAGUGCUGCAGCUAACGCAUUAAGCACUCCGCCUG